RNAcentral lists this ribosomal RNA (422 nucleotides) under uncultured bacterium. RNAcentral describes it as "bacterial SSU rRNA". It matches the Rfam family "Bacterial small subunit ribosomal RNA", at positions 355 to 774 of the family's 1533-position model. The record is from RNAcentral.
UGAGGAAUAUUGGACAAUGGGCGCAAGCCUGAACCAGCCAUGCCGCGUGAAGGAUGACGGCCCUCUGGGUUGUAAACUUCUUUUAUCUGGGACGAAAAAAGAUCAUUCCUGAUCACUUGACGGUACCAGAGGAAUAAGCACCGGCUAACUCCGUGCCAGCAGCCGCGGUAAUACGGAGGGUGCAAGCGUUAUCCGGAUUUACUGGGUUUAAAGGGUGCGUAGGCGGCUCCCUCAGUCAGCGGUGAAAUGUAUCGGCUCAACCGAUAACCUGCCGUUGAUACUGGGGAGCUUGAGUUGGGUUGAGGCAGGCGGAAUGUGCGGUGUAGCGGUGAAAUGCUUAGAUAUGACAUAGAACACCAAUUGCGAAGGCAGCUGGCUACGCAUAUAUUGACACUGAGGCACGAAGGCGUGGGGAUCAAACA